GACGAACGCUGGCGGCGUGCUUAAUACAUGCAAGUCGAACAGUGGCGAACGGGUGAGUAACACGGGAGUAACAUGCCCUCCACAUUGGGAUAACUCCGAGAAAUCGGGGCUAAUACUGGAUAGUGGGGGAUGGGCUCGCGUCCAAUAAGUGUGUUGGUGAGGUAGUGGUCACCAAGGCGUGACGUGUAGCCGGCCGGAGAGGGCGACCGACCACACUGGGCCUGAGACACGGAGCAGACUCCUAUGGGAGGCAGAGGUGGAAAAUAUUGCACAAUGAGCGAGCGCCUGAUGCAGCGACGCCGCGUGGGGAAUGCCGGCCUUCGGGUUGUAACCCUGUUUCAGCAAGGAAGCGGUACUUGCCGAAGAAGCGCCGGCUAACUACGUGCCAGCAGCCGCGGUAAUAC
RNAcentral lists this ribosomal RNA (404 nucleotides) under uncultured bacterium. Its description in RNAcentral is "partial 16S ribosomal RNA". It matches the Rfam family "Bacterial small subunit ribosomal RNA", at positions 28 to 526 of the family's 1533-position model. The record is from RNAcentral.